RNAcentral lists this unclassified non-coding RNA (795 nucleotides) under Hevea brasiliensis (rubber tree). The record is from RNAcentral. Lineage: Eukaryota; Viridiplantae; Streptophyta; Magnoliopsida; Malpighiales; Euphorbiaceae.
GGGUGGAACUGAACCAGCUGGCACACCACAGGGAGUUACAGAUGCACCACUGCUACUGUUCAUGCCAUCAUCAGGUAUGCUGUCACGAUUAGCCCACCAUAGUUUGAUAAAGCGAUUGCCCAUUACAGCAUCAGGUGCUCUUAAAGCAGCUUCUGCCUCUUCCCUUUUUGAGAACUGAACAAAAGCUCGUUCGCUAUUCAAUGGGAUAUAAAUGUCAACAACCUCCCCAAAUUUUUGAAAAUGAGAAAGAAGAGCAUCCCUCUUGUUGUUUUUUUGUGGAAUGCCACUGACAAAUAGUGUACGUAGUGCCUUUUGAGAAGAUUUCCUUAUAUUACGCAUGGUAUCACUCUGUAUCCUGGCUGCUGAAUCAAUAGUUCUGGGGCCAACAUCGUCAGUAAUCAUUCGCUUUCCUUGACAAGUAGUACCUUGAAUAUUGGCUAAUGCUUCAUGAUCUUCUUUUGCUUCAUUAUUCCCAUGAUCUGAGGUAUUCAUAAUCAAAUCCGUUUUCUCUUUCAUAUCUAAUCUAUUCUUCACACUACCAACUCUACCCCAAACGGAUGAACCUGUACUCUGUGAACCAACAGGGAUCCCAGUGCUUCUAAUUGAACAUUCAUUGUCAGUAGUAUCACGCAACCUGACAUUAUGACGGUCAGAAGGAUCAACACUCAUGAAGGAUUCAUUUUCAUCAUUUUUGGAUGAAUUUAGUGCUAAGAGUGCACUUGAUGUUUCAGGACCAUUGUUAUUCCACAGUGGUUGGUCUGGAUCAUACAAGUCUGCUCCACUCACACUAGCAGA